UAAAUUUAGUUAAUUGAAAUGGGACAAAAUUCGUUCCAUUGAUAAUCUGGCGAAUUUUUUUACAAAAUUUUUUUCAAAGUCCACAUUCCAAAAUAUUGUGUAUUGUAACUAGAUGAAUCGAAUUUAAAAAUGAUUUGAUUGAAGCAUGCAGUUAUCUAGAGCAUCUAAAAGUAUGCUAUAUAUAUAGUACGUAUGUGCAAUGUACUUUUCUUUCCUUCACUUAGGUUUUUAUUCCACUUGGUUUUUCCUAACAAGAUUUUUAACUAGAUAGCAUUAAGCGUGCCCAACGUGAUAUUGAUGAUCCAGACAAAGAUUAUACAAAUUUUUCUUCACGUGUUUUGCCUUUAUUCAGCUUAGUUUUGCUAGUAAGGUUCUAAUUACAGUUGGGAAUUUAUAACUAAAAAAAGAAAAGUCCUAAUCAGCUAAACCAAUCAUGUAUGUUCGGUUUGGUGUAUUUUUUAUUUUUAUUUUAUUUUAUAGAGUUUUGAAAUUGAAAAUUUUUUAUUUUUUAUAUUUACCUUCAUCCAUGAUAUCUCAUUUGAAGUCCCACUAAAUAUGUUAAUGCUAUCACGUCCUUCUGCAUUCUCUCAACCUUCCUCCUCUCUCUAUCUCCUCACCACUUGUCGUCAUUCGUCGCGUCGUUAAAGACCUCACCACGAUCUAUGACAAUCUCUCUUUAUAUCUCUUCCUCAUUCCUCCCAUCUUGUCAAAUGUGCUCCAAUUGUCCCAAAUAUCAUCGAAUAUAGUUUUUUUUUUAAUCAAAUAGAAACUUCAUUAGAUUAACUUCAACGGUACAAUCAAAGACAUCUAAAAUACCAAUCCCAAGAGGGCAACAAACUAACAUGCUAAAAGUAAAACUAAUGCAGACAAAAAUCGCACUAAAACUACGAGCCACAUCACCACAAUUAGCCAUAAGCCCAAACAAAGCCCACAAACCCAACAUAACCAAAACCCUAAAUUAACCCAUGAGCCUAAACGAACCCUACCACCACCACCUGAGUAAGCGUUGUUACGGCCACACCCACCACCGCAUCUGUAACAGAUCUGGGAAAAAUAUGAUUUUCAAUGAUCUACCUGUGCAUAAGAGCAAACAAAUAAACGAAAAC
Molecule: long non-coding RNA, 1106 nt
Filed under: Prunus persica (peach)
Lineage: Eukaryota; Viridiplantae; Streptophyta; Magnoliopsida; Rosales; Rosaceae
Description: long non-coding RNA (PPER_LNC006274)
Source: RNAcentral